Molecule: long non-coding RNA, 1048 nt
Filed under: Olea europaea subsp. europaea
Lineage: Eukaryota; Viridiplantae; Streptophyta; Magnoliopsida; Lamiales; Oleaceae
Source: RNAcentral
AGUGAUGGUGAAUCUUUGGGCUAUGGGGCAUGAUCCCACGAUAUGGGACGAUCCAUUAUCGUUUAUGCCAGAGCGAUUUUUGAACUCGAAUUUGGAGUUUAAAGGGCAACAUUUUGAGUUUUUGCCAUUUGGUGGUGGAAGAAGAAUGUGCCCAGGUUUACCAUAUGCUCACAGGCAAUUGCAGUUAAUUUUGGCUUCUUUGAUAUGUUAAUUUAAAUGGUCUCUUCCAAAUGAUAGGCAGAUAGACAUGGAUGAAAAAUAUGCAGUGCCAUUGCAGAUGAAGAAGCCGUUGCUGCUAAUUCCGUCCAGGAGAUGUUAAUAUAAUUUGAAGCUUGUUUGUUUCUAUAAAAUAAAUGUGAGUGUUAUGCACAACUGUUAAGACCUACUCACCGGUAUUUGAGAUGAUGUGAUUUAAGUGGACGUUUUACUACUUGUACAUUUAUAAAGGUCCCACUAAGUAUAUCCCUUAGAAGUGUAAUCUAAUUGUAAAGAUCCACAUCUUAUUACAGCCUGAUUUCAUGAUGAAUUAUGUUACAAGUACACUAAUUUUUAAACCAUCUUUCACAAAUGAUCGCUGGCCUACUCACGUGAGUGGGCUAUCAAGCUGGAUAUCUAUUAAGAAUGUGAAUAUGUAAAUUAUGUAUCUUAAAUAUAUAAACAAUGUUAUUGAUGAAGAAAAUUUCUUCGGUCUGGGUUCAGGAUGAAGCCUAAUUGGAAGGCUCAUAUAUUUCAAAGUUAGUGAGCCCAAAAUUAGUUCGAUGUAGUGUCAUUUUGACUGUUAAGAGAAAUGUAAUUUGUCAGUCAAGCAGCCAAAUGGUUUUCUAGUUUUGAUUGUUGUACAUUCAGCAUAAUUCUUUCAUGAUCUUAAGAGCGUAAAUAUGUAAAUUAUGUAUCUUAAAUAUGUAAACGAUGUUAUUGAUGAAGAAAAUUUCUUUGGUCUAGGUUCAAGAUGAAGUCCAAUUGGUCUUCGGUGCGCUCAAAGGCUCAUAUAUUUGAAAGUUAGUGAGCCGAAAAUUUGUUUGACGUAGUAUCAUUUUGACUGUCAAGA